AGUGAACGCUGGCGGUAGGCCUAACACAUGCAAGUCGAACGGCAGCACAGUAGAGCUUGCUCUUCCGGGUGGCGAGUGGCGGACGGGUGAGGAAUACAUCGGAAUCUACUUUUUCGUGGGGGAUAACGUAGGUAAACUUACGCUAAUACCGCAUACGACCUACGGGUGAAAGCAGGGGAUCUUCGGACCUUGCGCGAUUGAAUGAGCCGAUGUCGGAUUAGCUAGUUGGCGGGGUAAAGGCCCACCCAGGCGACGAUCCGUAGCUGGUCUGAGAGGAUGAUCAGCCACACUGGAACUGAGACACGGUCCAGACUCCUACGGGAGGCAGCAGUGGGGAAUAUUGGACAAUGGGCGCAAGCCUGAUCCAGCCAUACCGCGUGGGUGAAGAAGGCCUUCGGGUUGUAAAGCCCUUUUGUUGGGAAAGAAAAGCAGCAGGUUAAUACCCCGCUGUUCUGACGGUACCCAAAGAAUAAGCACCGGCUAACUUCGUG
RNAcentral lists this ribosomal RNA (491 nucleotides) under uncultured bacterium. Its description in RNAcentral is "partial 16S ribosomal RNA". It matches the Rfam family "Bacterial small subunit ribosomal RNA", at positions 29 to 507 of the family's 1533-position model. The record is from RNAcentral.